AUUCACGUCCGGGGUGGGCCUUCCCCUCAGUCUGCAGCCUACCUGUCCAUCACCUUGACACACCCCCGCGAUGCUUUCCUGGUAGCUUAGGCUCUUAGUCAUGCAUCUUUUUCUUGGUACCAGGAACUGAACUCAGGGCCUUGCACUUUCAGGCAUUUCAGCGGCUGAGCUGUAUUCCCGGCCCAAGCUACAUGCCCAGCCCGCUCUUCUCUGUUUGAAGUACCGAAGUUAAUGAUCACAGAGUGGGAAGAACGGGAGGAAGUGCUCUCCUCCAGGCUCAGCUUCCAGGACACAGCCCCGAAGCCGCCGUGUGUCCCCAGGCUCUGUGUGUGCCUCUCCGCAAUCCCGUCCCUGCAGCCCUGGCCCCAGGCAGCUCAGGACCACAG
RNAcentral lists this long non-coding RNA (386 nucleotides) under Chinchilla lanigera (long-tailed chinchilla). RNAcentral describes it as "lncRNA (ENSCLAG00000026395.1)". The record is from RNAcentral. Lineage: Eukaryota; Metazoa; Chordata; Mammalia; Rodentia; Chinchillidae.